Molecule: ribosomal RNA, 238 nt
Filed under: uncultured Septoglomus
Lineage: Eukaryota; Fungi; Glomeromycota; Glomeromycetes; Glomerales; Glomeraceae
Description: partial small subunit ribosomal RNA
Rfam family: Eukaryotic small subunit ribosomal RNA (bases 47-238)
Source: RNAcentral
GGAUCAAUUGAUUGGUCAUGCCGUUGGUAUGUACUGGUCAUAUUGGUUCUCACCUUCUAAGGAACCAUAAUGUCAUUAAUUUGAUGUUUUGGGGAAUUAGGACUGUUACCUUGAAAAAAUUAGAGUGUUUAAAGCAGGCUAACGCUUGAAUACAUUAGCAUGGAAUAAUGAAAUAGGACAUCGCAUUCUAUUUUGUUGGUUUCUAGGAUCACCGUAAUGAUUAAUAGGGAUAGUUGGG